AUUGAACGCUGGCGGCAGGCCUAACACAUGCAAGUCGAGCGGAUGCAGGGAGCUUGCUCUUGGAUUGAGCGGCGGACGGGUGAGUAAUGUCUAGGAAUCUGCCUAGUAGCGGGGGAUAACUUCCGGAAACGGUCGCUAAUACCGCAUACGCCCUGCGGGGGAAAGUGGGGGAUCUUCGGACCUCACGCUAUCAGAUCAGCCUAUGUCGGAUUAGCUAGUUGGUGGGGUAACGGCCUACCAAGGCGACGAUCCGUAACUGGUUUGAGAGGAUGACCAGUCAAACUGGAAUUGAGAAACGGCCCAGAUCCCAACGGGAGGCAGCGGUGGGGAAUAUUGGAAAAGGGGCGAAAGCCUGAUCCAGCAACGCGGGGGGUGUGAAGAAGGUCUUCGGAUGGUAAAGAACUUUAAGAGGGGAGGAAGGUCAGGAAGUUAAUACCUGGCGGAUUGGACGUAACUGACAGAAAAAGCACGGGCUAAUAUCGG
This 483-nucleotide ribosomal RNA is filed under the name uncultured bacterium. Its description in RNAcentral is "partial 16S ribosomal RNA". It matches the Rfam family "Bacterial small subunit ribosomal RNA", at positions 29 to 506 of the family's 1533-position model. The record is from RNAcentral.